This is a long non-coding RNA of Bufo bufo (common toad), 127 nucleotides long. RefSeq lists it as uncharacterized. The transcript has 3 exons. Lineage: Eukaryota; Metazoa; Chordata; Amphibia; Anura; Bufonidae. The record is from RefSeq and is a predicted model, not a curated record.
GGUGACACCACCCUAGUGUGUGUCCCUGCCCAGUCUGAUACUAUCCAGUCAGUGCUGCCAGUGUCAGACUGUGCAGGAAAACUCCCCCCCAACUGGUAACACCCAGUUAGACCUUUUAUUGCAGACU